GGAAGGGAGGAGAACAAAUGUGGACACAGAACACAAGAGGACGCUAUGCUGGCCACUGUGCUCCAGGCUUCGUCGUCCCACAGAAGCGCAUAUGGUGGGCACUAACACCCAUCUUCCAGCUGAGGACGUGAGGGCUCAGAGGUCACACAGCUAAUAAGAGCUGGACUCAGAUCAAAGUGCCUUGUUCCUGAUCUCCGUCCUGAACUCCUUUCAGGGUGUGUUAAAGGUCAGCGACUGCAGUGGCUAGAGACUUCAUUCUUGGAGAACCAGAUGGGUCCUAAUGAAUAGCAGGGAGGACCUUAGUGUCCAAGGGCAAUGUGUGCUGUGCAAAGAAGAAGAACAAAGUGAAGAAAGUGGUAGGAGCACCCAGAGGAGAAGCAUGCAGGGAUCUUGGUUCCCUGACCAGGGAUUGAACCUGAGCCCCCUGCAGUGGAAGCGUGGAGUUGUAACCACUGGACCGCCAGGGAAGUCCCUAUGAUUCUUUGUUCUUAAGAUCUCUAUGACAGAUUCUUAAGAGUUCUGAAUUCUGCUCCUGACCCCCAUCCUUUCUCUUCUCUCUCUGUUUCACAGCCCAAAUUCUUGUCAACUGGAAAGUGCUUGCACUUUCCUCUCUGGUACACAUAAUCCCUGGUUCUGAUUCCAUCACAAACACUCCCCAUGCCUGUCCUGCCUGCUUUGCAGGGGCUGGGCCUGGAGGAAGAGUACAGGAUCUGUUUUGUUCUUAGAGUCAGGAUCGGAGCAGAGGGGCCAAGAAAGGAACUUUAAGCCAUAAGGUCCAGACCACAUGAUGGGGGUGAUGGAAACCAGGGCCCGGAGACAGCCAGAGUCAUGGGGGGCCACACCCAUCACACCAUCAGCUCCUCCCUGAGCUAUUUUCAAAUGGCCAAGAAUACUGAGAUGUUAUUGACUAAAAAGUACUAUAAGAAACAAAAACUUGGGACUUCCCUGGUGGCACAAUGGUUAAGAAUCCAGCUGCCAGUGCAGGGGACAUGGGUUCGAUCCCUGGUGCAGGAGGAUCCCACAUGCCGCGGAACAGCUAAGCCCGUGAGCCACAACUACUGAGCCUGCGCUCUAGAGCCCACGAGACACAAGUACUGAAGCCCGAGCACCCUAGGGCCUGUGUGCCACAACUACUGAGCCUGCGUGCUGCAACUACUGAAGCCCGUGUGCCUAGAGCCCGUGCUCCACAACAAGAGAAGCCACCGUAAUGAGAAGCCCGCGCACUGCAACAAAGAGUAGCCCCUGCUCACCGCAACUAGAGGAAGCCCGCGCACAGCAGCAAAGACCCAACACAGUCAAAAAUAAACAAACAAAUAAAUAAAUAAAAAUAAAAAUAAAGAAGCAAAUAUUUGAGUGUCAUGGCUAGAUGCUGGAAAUACUGAAAGAGCUCUGGACUAGUUAUCAGGAGGCCUGGCUUCCAGGCUUGGCUCUUCCACUAACCAGUGGUGUGGCCUUGGGCAAACUGACAUGCCUCUCUGGGCUUCUUGUUUCUCAUGUGUUUUAUGGGUUAAUCAGCUGCUUGCCCAUCCUCACAGGAUUUCUGUGAAGCUAAAACAAGAGAACAACAGUGCUUUACAAAUGACAAUGCAGUGUAAAGAUGCAAGGGAUCACUGUUGUUGCACUGACCUAGAUCCAAACAGCCCAAAGCUCCAGGUUCCCUGCCCUGGUGAUAAAUAACAGCAUGAAAGACUUUAUUCACUCUCAUCUACCAUAUCAGGACUCAUUCCCUGGAAGGGAUUUGGGAAGUGGGAAAACAGAGCCUGUCCUCGGGUUGCUUCCAACCCCACGUGCUAGCUCUUUGGAGUAUUGUGCCAGGAGUUGGGAGCUUAAGCUCUGGACCCCACCCUACUGUAAACAAGCUGUGUGCCCCACGAGACUCUUCACCUCUCUGUGCCUUGGCUGGCUCUAAAACUCUGAUGCCACAUCAUCAGCUUGAAUGCAGGGAGUUGGAUUAGCUCUGGGAUCUGGGGAUGGAGGGAAGUGGAAAAAUAUGCCUACUAAUUGCCAGGUCCUUUCCAUGUCAUCUGUCUCCUUUCGUUUGUUCAGCCCCUGACUGUGCCAAGCUCUGUGCCAGAGGCUGGGACCAGCUGUAAUAAUCAAGACAGACCUGGCUUUCUGGGGAUUCUGGUGAAGCAGGAGAGACAAGCAUAAAGCAAAUGUUCACACAAAUAUAGAAUGAAAACUGUGGGAAAGGAUAAGAAGGGACAUGACUAUUGGGAGGACCAUACCAGCCUAUUGUGGAGUUGAACUUGACAAAUAACAAGAAGAUGGCCGGCUUUCUGGGGACAAAGGGAACAUGCCAAGGGAAUAAGUGUGAAGGCCCUUAGGUUGAAAGGAGCAUGGCAUGGCCAGAGAUGGAGGGAGACAGCAAGUACGACCAAGGAGUUGUGAGCAUGGGGCAGACCGUUGCUUGCGUGGUUGCCCAGCGGCUGGCCAAGCCCUUUCUUACAGGCCAUGGUCAGAAGCAGAGGUCUUGAUCCAAUCUGGAAUAUGAGCUCCACUGAUCUAGGUUUUUGGAAUACAAUUAGAAUUUCUUGUUCUCUGGACAAUCUGACUGAUCACAGUCAACAAAUUCAAUAAACAUUCACUGUCCUCUGCCCUAGAAAAACAGGACAAAAACAAAGACUUUGUCCCUGCCCCUCGGGUUGCCAUCCGGAGGACAGGCUGGGGAGAGGGCAGCAGGUGCGCACUUGAUUAAAUAACUGUAAAGCAAGAGAGACCAAGAUGAGUGCCACAAAAGAGGUGCAAGGGCUAAGAUUCAACGACCAGAGCUGACAGGUACAGAAACUUGUCACGUUAGUGGCCACAUCUUUGAAACGCUUGUCACACCCGUUGGGAGGGUUUCCAGGAAAAAGUAUAAUUUCAGCUGAGCCUUGGAAAAUGAUAGGACAUUAUUUUUAAUAUUUUUGUUCAAAUUUUAAAAUAAUAUAGGCUCCUUAAAGAAAAUUUGGGAAAUGCAAAAAUGAGUGAAAAAUAAUUAUAACCACGCUUAAUCCGGAGAAACCACCAUAAACAUUUUAGUGAGUAACCGUCAAGGCUUCUUACCUACAUUUAACAACGUUGAAAUCGUCGUGUAGAUAUAAUUUGGCAGCAGUCUCUUUUUUUCAC
Long non-coding RNA from Balaenoptera acutorostrata (minke whale), 3108 nucleotides. RefSeq lists it as uncharacterized. Lineage: Eukaryota; Metazoa; Chordata; Mammalia; Artiodactyla; Balaenopteridae. The record is from RefSeq and is a predicted model, not a curated record. The transcript has 4 exons.